CCGAGGGAAAUUACAGUAUCGGAACAACCCGGUAGCCUGCAACAAUCGUAAAGACUUUAAAAACCGCUUGCUUCAAAAACACAAAGUUUUCAACUCAACUAGGUUUACAAACUUACUUUCCAGCUUCAAAUUCUUCUUCUUUAAUUUCUGGUAUUACUUUAAGGAGCGAUUAUUAUUCGUUGACAGCCAAAUAAUAAAUGACAAACUUACACAAUGAAUCGGUGUCUUUAUAUACCAAGAGCGCGGACCUCGAAGAGAGCACCCUAGUAACAAUUAACGCGUCUCAUAACAACCAAG
This 297-nucleotide long non-coding RNA is filed under the name Mytilus galloprovincialis (Mediterranean mussel). The record is from RNAcentral. Lineage: Eukaryota; Metazoa; Mollusca; Bivalvia; Mytilida; Mytilidae.